ACAUUAUUCACAAAGUAUAUAAAAUUGGAAUGAUACAGACAAGAUUAGGAUGGCCCCUGAGCAGAGAUGACAUGCAAAUUCAAGAAGCAUUUUAUAAUUUU
RNAcentral lists this small nuclear RNA (101 nucleotides) under Octodon degus (degu). The record is from RNAcentral. Lineage: Eukaryota; Metazoa; Chordata; Mammalia; Rodentia; Octodontidae.